Molecule: ribosomal RNA, 985 nt
Filed under: uncultured organism
Description: bacterial SSU rRNA
Rfam family: Bacterial small subunit ribosomal RNA
Source: RNAcentral
UGUCCUAUCAGCUUGUUGGUGAGGUAACGGCUCACCAAGGCGACGACGGGUACCGGGGCUGAGAGGCUGAUCCGGCGCAUUGGGACUGAGACACUGCCCAGACUCCUACGGGAGGCUGCAGCGACGAAUAUUGCACAAUGGGCGCAAGCCUGAUGCAGCGACGCCGCGUGUGGGAGGAAGCCCCUCGGGGUGUAAACCACUGUCAGGGACCACCAAGCGACCCGGGCGAAUAGUCCGGGAAGUUGAGGAAUCCCAGAGGACGUCACGGCUAACUUCGUGCCAGCAGCCGCGGUAAGACGAAGGUGGCAAGCGUUGUUCGGAAUCACUGGGCUUAAAGAGCACGUAGGCGGAUUGUCAAGCACUUUGUGAAAUCCCUCGGCUUAACCGAGGAAUUGCUUGGUGAACUGGCAGUCUUGAGGCAGGUAGAGGCACACGGAACUCUUGGUGGAGCGGUGGAAUGCGUCGAUAUCACGAGGAACGCCAGAGACGUAACCGUUGUGCUGGGCCUGACCUGACGCUGAGGUGCGAAAGCCAGGGGAGCAAACGGGAUUAGAUACCCCGGUAGUCCUGGCCAUAAACGAUGUCCACUAGGCAUGAGGUGUUCUGACACAUUUCCGGCCGAAACAAAAGCGUUAAGUGGACCGCCUGGGGAGUACGGUCGCAAGGCUAAAACUCAAAGGAAUUGACGGGGGCUCACACAAGCGGUGGAGCAUGUUGCUUAAUUUGAUGCAACGCGAAGAACCUUAUCCUGGGCUUGACAUGUAGGAAUACCUCCCUGGAAACAGGGUUGGUUGCCCUUCGGGGUGAAGCCUACACAGGUGCUGCAUGGCUGUCGUCAGCUCGUGUCGUGAGAUGUUGGGUUAAGUCCCGUAACGAGCGAAACCCUUGUCGUUAGUUGCCAGCGAGUUAUGGCGGGGACUUUAACGAGACUUCCGGUGUUAAACCGGAGGAAGGUGGGGAUGACGUCAAGUCCUCAUGGCCUUUA